RNAcentral lists this ribosomal RNA (1003 nucleotides) under Limosilactobacillus fermentum. RNAcentral's name for it is "bacterial SSU rRNA". It matches the Rfam family "Bacterial small subunit ribosomal RNA", at positions 473 to 1474 of the family's 1533-position model. Lineage: Bacteria; Bacillati; Bacillota; Bacilli; Lactobacillales; Lactobacillaceae. The record is from RNAcentral.
CGGUAUUUAACCAGAAAGUCACGGCUAACUACGUGCCAGCAGCCGCGGUAAUACGUAGGUGGCAAGCGUUAUCCGGAUUUAUUGGGCGUAAAGAGAGUGCAGGCGGUUUUCUAAGUCUGAUGUGAAAGCCUUCGGCUUAACCGGAGAAGUGCAUCGGAAACUGGAUAACUUGAGUGCAGAAGAGGGUAGUGGAACUCCAUGUGUAGCGGUGGAAUGCGUAGAUAUAUGGAAGAACACCAGUGGCGAAGGCGGCUACCUGGUCUGCAACUGACGCUGAGACUCGAAAGCAUGGGUAGCGAACAGGAUUAGAUACCCUGGUAGUCCAUGCCGUAAACGAUGAGUGCUAGGUGUUGGAGGGUUUCCGCCCUUCAGUGCCGGAGCUAACGCAUUAAGCACUCCGCCUGGGGAGUACGACCGCAAGGUUGAAACUCAAAGGAAUUGACGGGGGCCCGCACAAGCGGUGGAGCAUGUGGUUUAAUUCGAAGCUACGCGAAGAACCUUACCAGGUCUUGACAUCUUGCGCCAACCCUAGAGAUAGGGCGUUUCCUUCGGGAACGCAAUGACAGGUGGUGCAUGGUCGUCGUCAGCUCGUGUCGUGAGAUGUUGGGUUAAGUCCCGCAACGAGCGCAACCCUUGUUACUAGUUGCCAGCAUUAAGUUGGGCACUCUAGUGAGACUGCCGGUGACAAACCGGAGGAAGGUGGGGACGACGUCAGAUCAUCAUGCCCCUUAUGACCUGGGCUACACACGUGCUACAAUGGACGGUACAACGAGUCGCGAACUCGCGAGGGCAAGCAAAUCUCUUAAAACCGUUCUCAGUUCGGACUGCAGGCUGCAACUCGCCUGCACGAAGUCGGAAUCGCUAGUAAUCGCGGAUCAGCAUGCCGCGGUGAAUACGUUCCCGGGCCUUGUACACACCGCCCGUCACACCAUGAGAGUUUGUAACACCCAAAGUCGGUGGGGUAUACCUUUUAGGAGCCAGCCGCCUAAGGUGACAGAGUUGG